Molecule: ribosomal RNA, 119 nt
Filed under: Lepisosteus oculatus (spotted gar)
Lineage: Eukaryota; Metazoa; Chordata; Actinopteri; Semionotiformes; Lepisosteidae
Source: RNAcentral
GCCAGCAGCCAUGUCACCCUGCAACUUACAUCUGGCCACCCACUGAAACUAAGCAGGUGUGAGCCUGUUUAAUACAUGGAUGGGAGACCUCCUGGGAAAAACUAAGGUUCCUGCUGGAA